This 245-nucleotide ribosomal RNA is filed under the name uncultured bacterium. RNAcentral describes it as "partial small subunit ribosomal RNA". It matches the Rfam family "Bacterial small subunit ribosomal RNA", at positions 26 to 285 of the family's 1533-position model. The record is from RNAcentral.
AGAAUCAACGCUGGCGGCGUGCCUAACACAUGCAAGUCGAACGAGAAAGUGGAGCAAUCCAUGAGUAAAGUGGCGCACGGGUGAGUAACACGUGACUAACCUACCUUUUUAGUGGGGGAUAACCUAGGGAAACCUGGGCUAAUACCGCAUAACACUUACGAGUCAAAGCAGCAAUGCGCUGAAAGAGGGGGUCGCGGCCGAUUAGCUAGUUGGCGGGGUAAGGCCCACCAAGGCAGUGAUCGGUA